RNAcentral lists this ribosomal RNA (526 nucleotides) under uncultured bacterium. Its description in RNAcentral is "bacterial SSU rRNA". It matches the Rfam family "Bacterial small subunit ribosomal RNA", at positions 777 to 1302 of the family's 1533-position model. The record is from RNAcentral.
AAUAGAUACCCGGGUAGUCCAUGCCGUAAACGAUGAGUGCUAAGUGUUGGAGGGUUUCCGCCCUUCAGUGCUGCAGCUAACGCAUUAAGCACUCCGCCUGGGGAGUACGACCGCAAGGUUGAAACUCAAAGGAAUUGACGGGGGCCCGCACAAGCGGUGGAGCAUGUGGUUUAAUUCGAAGCUACGCGAAGAACCUUACCAGGUCUUGACAUCUUCUGCCAAUCUUAGAGAUAAGACGUUCCCUUCGGGGACAGAAUGACAGGCGGUGCAUGGUUGUCGUCAGCUCGUGUCGUGAGAUGUUGGGUUAAGUCCCGCAACGAGCGCAACCCUUAUUAUCAGUUGCCAGCAUUCAGUUGGGCACUCUGGUGAGACUGCCGGUGACAAACCGGAGGAAGGUGGGGAUGACGUCAAAUCAUCAUGCCCCUUAUGACCUGGGCUACACACGUGCUACAAUGGACGGUGCAACGAGUUGCGAAGUCGUGAGGCUAAGCUAAUCUCUUAAAAGUCGUUCUCAGUUCGGAUUGGU